UGAGGAAUAUUGGUCAAUGGACGCAAGUCUGAACCAGCCAAGUAGCGUGCAGGAUGACGGCCCUAUGGGUUGUAAACUGCUUUUAUAUGGGGAUAAAGUGGGGAACGUGUGCCCUUUUGCAGGUACCAUAUGAAUAAGGACCGGCUAAUUCCGUGCCAGCAGCCGCGGUAAUACGGAAGGUUCGGGCGUUAUCCGGAUUUAUUGGGUUUAAAGGGAGCGUAGGCUGUUUGUUAAGCGUGUUGUGAAAUGUAAGAGCUCAACUUUUAGAUUGCAGCGCGAACUGGCAGACUUGAGUGCGCACAACGUAGGCGGAAUUCAUGGUGUAGCGGUGAAAUGCUUAGAUAUCAUGACGAACUCCGAUUGCGAAGGCAGCUUACGGGAGCGCAACUGACGCUAAAGCUCGAAGGUGCGGGUAUCGAACAGG
Molecule: ribosomal RNA, 424 nt
Filed under: Verrucomicrobiota bacterium
Lineage: Bacteria; Pseudomonadati; Verrucomicrobiota
Description: Verrucomicrobia bacterium partial 16S ribosomal RNA
Rfam family: Bacterial small subunit ribosomal RNA
Source: RNAcentral